GAUAUGGCUCAGGAUAAACGCUGGCGGCGCACAUAAGACAUGCAAGUCGAACGAACUUAACCAUUAGUUUACUAGUGGAGCGGUUAGUGGCGGACUGGUGAGUAACACGUAAGCAACCUGCCUAUCAGAGGGGGAACAACAGUUAGAAAUGACUGCUAAUACCGCAUAUGCCUUGAGUAUCACAUGGUACAAAAGGGAAAGGAGCAAUCCGCUGAUAGAUGGGCUUGCGU
This 230-nucleotide ribosomal RNA is filed under the name uncultured bacterium. Its description in RNAcentral is "partial 16S ribosomal RNA". It matches the Rfam family "Bacterial small subunit ribosomal RNA", at positions 15 to 236 of the family's 1533-position model. The record is from RNAcentral.